This 372-nucleotide ribosomal RNA is filed under the name uncultured bacterium. RNAcentral's name for it is "bacterial SSU rRNA". It matches the Rfam family "Bacterial small subunit ribosomal RNA", at positions 527 to 896 of the family's 1533-position model. The record is from RNAcentral.
GAACCGUGCGAACGUUAUUCGGAAUCACUGGGCUUAAAGCGCGUGUAGGCGGGCCAGCACGUCGGGCGCUGAAAUCCCCCGGCUCAACCGGGGAACGGGCACCGAUACGACUGGCCUGGAGGGGAGUAGGGGGACCUGGAACUUCCGGUGGAGCGGUGAAAUGCGUUGAGAUCGGAAGGAACGCCCGUGGCGAAAGCGAGGUCCUGGGCUCUUACUGACGCUGAGACGCGAAAGCCAGGGGAGCGAACGGGAUUAGAUACCCCGGUAGUCCUGGCCGUAAACGAUGGGCACUGGGUAGGGGGCUCGCCGAUGGGCUCCCUGCCGUAGGGAAACCGUGAAGUGCCCCGCCUGGGGAGUAUGGUCGCAAGGCUG